RNAcentral lists this long non-coding RNA (3251 nucleotides) under Homo sapiens (human). RNAcentral describes it as "non-protein coding lnc-ROBO3-2:11". The record is from RNAcentral. Lineage: Eukaryota; Metazoa; Chordata; Mammalia; Primates; Hominidae.
GCUGCCCUCGGGCCUGGCUCGCCCGCGGGCGGAUGGCUCCGGGUCUCUGCUGCUGAGGAUGUGGCUGCCGGGCGGAGGUCGUCCACUCCCCUGGGCCUUUCUCCGCGAGCCCUCCCACGCCGCCCGCUCCUCUCCCGGGGCGAAGGGCGGGGACGAGGCGCGCCGAAGCCCCGAGCUGAAGAGAAGGGUGGGGGCAUGAGGGCGCUGGAGUGAGGAACAGAUUGGAGCCUUCCCACUUCCUCUCCAAUCUCAGCCCCCGGGAGGAGGGGUGAGGCCCUCGAGGGGGCCCGGAGUUAAGGAGGAAUAGACCGUUUCUCUCUCUCCUGUCUCCCCCGCCUCUGCCCGUCUUCCCUCUAAGCCGGCCUCUAGGUGCAGAGGCUGACGUCCAGGAUGGGGACCGGGGAAGCCUCUGGAGGGUAUAUCCGGGAAGGCACCAAGGCUGAAGUGAGAGCGGUUCUGGGGAAGGCUUUAAAAAGCAGAUAUGGACCAGGGUAGAGUUCGUACGCUGUAGCUUUUCAAGAACACCGAUCUCAUUAAUUAAAGAACAGCAACUAUUUAAUUCCAGUUAUAAACUAUUGUUUUCCAGUUAGUCUGGGUAGGUGUGGCCGUUUGUAGAAUAGUUAGAUUACAUUAGUCUAUUGCGUUGGUACAGUUGUCUAUAGCUUGAGCAUAUAAAAACUCCUGAGCCCAGCAGAAAAGUUACUUUCCAAUACCAGUCUCCAUCCUCCGUGCUUUGGAAGUUGCAUCGUUUUCCGGUUUUUCGUACUCAAAGAACACUGUCAAUUAUGACAGCUCUGUGACCUCUGGUAAUGAAUUAGUGUAUUAGUCACUCCUGAAACGUUCCUUAAAGUGCUGGAACUUAACAGUAGCACAGCACAUCCAGUACACAGCUGUACCGUAUUUCCAUAUUUUUCAAAGCUGAAAAUCUUAAUUGGAUAUCUUGGAUCAUUAACUUAAAACCUCAGCGGAUUUUUCUUUCAAAGCAGACAUAACUGAGGAUGCUGACCAAUGAAUGCAAAUAAACUAUGCAAUAUUUUUUAAAAUAACAAAUGUAUGUUAGUUUUUUUUAAGCUGAGGUCAACUAUGUUUUGGGGGGUAUGUGCUUUUUUAAAUUAUUGUUUUAUUUCAAUCGAUUUUUGGGGGUAACAGGUGGCGUUUGGUUACAUGAAUAAGGUUUUUAGUGGUGAUUUCUGAGAUUUUGGUGCGUCCGAGCAAUGUACACUGUAUCCAAUGUGUAGUCUUUUGUCCCUCAUUAGCCUUCCCCUUACCCCUGAGCUCCCGAGUCCCCAAAGUCCAAUGUAUCAUUCUUAUUGAAGACAGCUAAAUUUUUAACUCUGAGACUCACUGGAGAGAAUGACUGGUUGUCUUUGGGUGUUACUGAAAAGCCAAAGGAUUAAGCAAUAGGGAUAAAGUAGAGGAGGAGAUAAUUGUUCUCGUAUGUCAUAUGAAAAUGCUAACCAUAGUUUGUAAGCUAACAGAAGAAGCCUGAGGAAGUUCCCGAAUUUAUGAUAUCCUCUUCCCUUUUUUCCAAAGAAAGAUGCAGUCUAGCACCUCAGUUAAGAAUAUGGACUCUAAAGUCAGACUGCCAGGCUUCAAAUUCCAGUUCUGCGACCUCAGCAAAGUUACUUAACCAAGCUCUCAGUGCCUUGUUUUCUUCAUCUGUAAAAUGAGGAUGACGUCACAGCAUUGUUGAGAGAAUUAAUACAGGCUCCAGACUUGUGAAUGGAGAAGUGUUGAGGUGACCCCAGCUCCAGCCACCAGCUGACGACAACCAUACCGGAGAUCCUGAGAGCUGCCUAGCUGACCCCAGGCACCCCCCAGACUUAUUCAGCACUUAGAAGAAUGCCAGGCAGGCUUUCCCCACCAACCAAGAUGGAAUAACAGGGAAAAGACAUACCCUUCUAUCUUCAAUAAUUGGAAACCCAGACAAAGUUUAUGAAACGCUGGUUUUCAAGACAUAGGACAUCAGACAAUCAAGGACAGUAAACACUGAGAUGGGAAACAAACAAGGUGAGUACUGCAAUUGCCCAACAUUACUAGCUGGAAAGAGUUUCCCGACCAUGGCAGAGGGAGGAGGAUCCUUUGAGGUUCUGUGGUGUCCCUGAGUUGAGGAGACAAAGUUGAAAUUCCAGAGUGGUCAAGGCAGCUGGAGUUUGUAGAGCAGAGUACCAGAAAGAAAAUAGAUGCACAGAGAGAACCUCAGAGAUCUGCAAAAGAUCUCAGCUCUUCAGCUGUGCACCUAUCAGUACAUGCAUGUGACAAAGCACCCCAAGGCCAGGGGAAGAAUCACCUGAAAGUAUGAAGAGAAGAAUACUUGGAGCAUAUACAAACCAGGAAUAAUUUCAGUUCUCACCAGCCAAAUUGGAAGACCCCAUAGAUAACAGGCAUUAGGUAGAGCAGGGGUCCCCAACCUCCAGGGGCACUGACCAGUACUGUUCAUGGCCUGUUAGGAACUGGGCUGCACAGCAGGAGGUGAGCGGCAGGCUAGCCAGCAAACCUUCAUCUGUAUUUAUAGCUCCCAUCACUUGCAUUACUCCCCAUCACUCCCCAUCACUUGCAUUACCACCUGAGCUCCACCUCCUCUCAGAUCAGCAGCAGCAUUAGAUUCUCAUAGGAGUGUGAACCCUACUGUGAACUGCACAUGCAAGGGAUCUAGGUUGUGCACUGUUUAUGAGAAUCUAAUGCCUGAUGAUCUGAGGUGCAGCUGAGGCAGCAUAGCUAGGAGGUAGGUAUUUUGUUGCUGGGGACUCAUAUCAAAACCCUAUCAGUGAGUGGCAAGUGACAAUUAAGCUGCAUCUGGUGGCAGACUUUAUAGAGGCAAGUGAGUCAAUGUAUUUCAAUUGCACAGCUCUAUCUGGUGGCAAGUUUUAAGUCAGAAUCUGACACUUAAUUUAGUCUGUGCAUGGCCUGCCCAUUAUUUUAUUUACCACUUCUGUCUGUGCCUCUUUGCUGCACUGAACACUUGUCUCAGUCACAGUUUUGGUAAGCCCACAAGCUAACCCUAGCUAAAAUGAGUAAAAAGCAAACGACACUGGAGAGCUUCUUUGAAAAGUCAGAGAGACCCAAUGAUGAGACAGCAGAAGACUCUUAAGACUGCCAACAAAAAGAAAGCUGCACUUAAAAGAAAAUACCAGACUGGGCGUGGUGGCUCACACCUGUAAUCCUAGCACUUUGGGAGGCUGAAGCAGGUGGAUCCCUUGAGGCCAGGAGUUUGAGACCAGCCAAGCCAACAUGGUGAAACCCAUGUUUCU